UACAGAGGGUGCGAGCGUUGUCCGGAAUCACUGGGCGUAAAGGGCGCGUAGGCGGCUUGAUAAGCGUGCGGUGAAAGCCCGGGGCUCAACCCCGGGUCGGCCGUGCGAACUGUCGAGCUGGAGCACUGUAGAGGCAGGUGGAAUUCCGGGUGUAGCGGUGGAAUGCGUAGAGAUCCGGAAGAACACCGGUGGCGAAGGCGGCCUGCUGGGCAGUGGCUGACGCUGAGGCGCGACAGCCAGGGGAGCAAACGGG
RNAcentral lists this ribosomal RNA (253 nucleotides) under uncultured bacterium. RNAcentral describes it as "partial 16S ribosomal RNA". It matches the Rfam family "Bacterial small subunit ribosomal RNA", at positions 524 to 776 of the family's 1533-position model. The record is from RNAcentral.